RNAcentral lists this ribosomal RNA (253 nucleotides) under uncultured bacterium. Its description in RNAcentral is "partial 16S ribosomal RNA". It matches the Rfam family "Bacterial small subunit ribosomal RNA", at positions 524 to 776 of the family's 1533-position model. The record is from RNAcentral.
UACGUAGGGGGCUAGCGUUGUCCGGAAUCAUUGGGCGUAAAGCGCGUGUAGGCGGUUCGGUAAGUCCGCUGUGAAAGUCGGGGGCUCAACCCUCGGAAGCCGGUGGAUACUGUCGAGCUAGAGUACGGAAGAGGCGAGUGGAAUUCCUGGUGUAGCGGUGAAAUGCGCAGAUAUCAGGAGGAACACCAAUCGCGAAGGCAGCUCGCUGGGACGUUACUGACGCUGAGACGCGAAAGCGUGGGGAGCAAACAGG